GACAGGCGUAGUCGAUGGACAACGGGUUGAUAUUCCCGUACCGGCGAAACAACGCCCGUGCUGAGGCGCGCGAUGCUAAGCAUGCGAGACUGUCUGUUGCCUUUCGGGGUGGCGGGUGGUUGAGUCUGUGACCCGAGUGUGUAGUAGGCAAGCCGCGGAGGGACGCAGGAAGGUAGCUCAUCCUCAGCGUUGGUUGUCUGAGGCUAAGUGUGUAGGGUGGGGUGUAGGUAAAUCCGCAUUCCGUGAUGCCUGAGACAUGAUGGGCCCGUACCUUUGGUGGUUCGGGUUGAGUGAUCCUAUGCUGCCUAGAAAAGCUUCGUUAGCGAGUUGUUAGCCGCCCGUACCCUAAACCGACACAGGUGGAUAGGUAGAGUAUACCGAGGCGAUCGGGAUAAUCGUGGUGAAGGAACUCGGCAAAAUACCCCCGUAACUUCGGGAUAAGGGGGACCUGAUACGUGACCAGCCUUGCGUUGUGAGCGUUGAGGGUCGCAGAGACCAGGCCCAAGCGACUGUUUACUAAAAACACAGGUCCGUGCCAACUCGUAAGAGGACGUAUACGGACUGACUCCUGCCCGGUGCUGGAAGGUUAAGGGGAACCGUCAGCCGCAUUUUGUGUGGUGAAGCGGUGAACUUAAGCCCCAGUAAACGGCGGUGGUAACUAUAACCAUCCUAAGGUAGCGAAAUUCCUUGUCGGGUAAGUUCCGACCUGCACGAAUGGAGUAACGAUUUGGGCGCUGUCUCCACCACGAACCCGGUGAAAUUGCAUUACGAGUAAAGAUGCUCGUUACGCGCAGCAGGACGGAAAGACCCCGGGACCUUUACUAUAGUUUGGUAUUGGUGAUCGGUGUGACUUGUGUAGGAUAGGUGGGAGACUGUGAAGCCGGGACGCUAGUUUCGGUGGAGUCGUCGUUGAAAUACCACUCUGGUCACUCUGGUUAUCUAACCUAGGACCGUUAUCCGGUUCAGGGACAGUGCCUGAUGGGUAGUUUGACUGGGGCGGUCGCCUCCUAAAAGGUAACGGAGGCGCCCAAAGGUUCCCUCAGCCUGGUUGGCAAUCAGGUAGCGAGUGUAAGUGCACAAGGGAGCUUGACUGCGAGACUGACGGGUCGAGCAGGGACGAAAGUCGGGACUAGUGAUCUUCUGGUAGCGAAUGGAAGCGCCAGGACUCAACGGAUAAAAGGUACCCCGGGGAUAACAGGCUGAUCUUGCCCGAGCGUCCAUAGCGACGGCAUGGUUUGGCACCUCGAUGUCGGCUCGUCGCAUCCUGGGGCUGGAGUCGGUCCCAAGGGUUGGGCUGUUCGCCCAUUAAAGCGGCACGCGAGCUGGGUUUAGAACGUCGUGAGACAGUUCGGUCCCUAUCCGCUGCGCGCGUAGGAGUCUUGAGAAGGGCUGUCCUUAGUACGAGAGGACCGGGACGGACCAACCUCUGGUGUGCCAGUUGUUCCGCCAGGAGCACGGCUGGUUGGCUACGUUGGGAAGUGAUAACCGCUGAAAGCAUCUAAGCGGGAAGCACGCUUCAAGAUGAGGACUCCCACACCAACAAGGUGGUAAGGCCCCCUGCAGACCACAGGGUCGAUAGGUCGGACGUGGAAGCACAGUAAUGUGUGAAGCUGACCGAUACUAAUAGGCCGAGGGCUUGCCAC
Molecule: ribosomal RNA, 1643 nt
Filed under: human oral metagenome
Description: bacterial LSU rRNA
Rfam family: Bacterial large subunit ribosomal RNA
Source: RNAcentral